Pezoporus flaviventris is the source of this 1056-nucleotide long non-coding RNA. RefSeq lists it as uncharacterized. NCBI's taxonomy places the organism in Eukaryota, Metazoa, Chordata, Aves, Psittaciformes, Psittacidae. The transcript is spliced from 2 exons. The record is from RefSeq and is a predicted model, not a curated record.
UGACAGGAGCUGUGAUAAAACUGCUUCAUUAAAGUUUUCCAGCAGCGUAAAUGUGGUGUUUGAAUGUGCGCCACAGCACUGGGACCAUCCAUAUUCCGUGGGAGUUGUCUAAGUUGCUCACUGCUGUAUCUGGAAACAGUUUAUAAGAGAAAUUGCUAUGGACCCCAAGUUGCACUGAUUACUGAAGAUCUUAACAGUAGAAUAAAUACUUACAAGUACAGCUGUGAUAUAUGGCAGUGAAGAGCACAGAUCUUUUAUUUUCUGUACAAAACAGCUUCCCAUCUCUAGGUUUACAGUAGCACCCUUGUCAAACAGGUUCAGAUGUUAGGUUAGAGGAUGCUUUAUUCAGAGAGUCCGCUUAAGAGGUGAAAGCUGCAGGUGCAAGAGAAAAUGUGUAACUCAGUGUUAGAAAACAAGUGGAUUAAGGUUACUGCUUAGAACAACCACUUAAAGAUGAUUUUUUCCCUAAUUGUAACAUUUUCUCUUCUCUUCAAAGGCUCCUUUGUAUCUUGCCUUUCUCUGGGGUAUAAUGAUGAAAGUCCUUCCAAUAGAGGACUGCUCCCUUUGGAGUGGAGUAUGGAACCUCCCAGCACUCUGGUGUUAAAUUCUCUGUCAGUGCCUGAGAACUUCUGCUAAAGGUACUAACUAAUGCAUGUGACUCAGCUCUGCUAUCAAAGAAACUUCAGUUUUCCAAAAAGCAGGAACAGCAUUUAAGGUUUAUUCCCUCUAGGAGUUAUUUCCUUUGUGCUUUCAUGCACAAACUGGCACCAUUUCUGCACAGUAAAGCAAACUUUUACUUUCAAAACCUUCCCAAAUGACCCUGUUGUGUAGCUGAACUGAUCAGCCAGUGGUUCCACUGAGGCACACUGGGGAAGAAGAGAAAACGAAAAAACAUAGGUGCUGGCAAUGAAUGAUUCUGUAUCUUCAUCUGUAAUGUUUUCAUUGGGUGACUCGUACUCUAUGCAGGGGUGUUUUUCCAGGGGGAAGAAACAGAUCCAGGUGAAAUCUGCAGAGAGUAUUUGAAAUUAUAUAAAUAAAAGGAAAACACAUCUCUUC